UUCCGGUUGAUCCUGCCGGACCCGACUGCUAUCGGAUUGAGAUUAAGCCAUGCGAGUUAUACGCCUUUCGUCUGUGAGAGGUGUGGCACACGGCUCAGUAACACGUUGCCAACCUACCCUGAAGACGCAAAUAACCCCGGGAAACUGGGACUAAUGUGCGAUAGGUCAUUUCUCCUGGAAUGGGUUAUGACUGAAAGGGUUGUGGAAGCAUGUUUUCACAAUUGCUCUAGGAUGGGGCAGCGUCCGAUCAGGUUGUUGGUGGGGUAACGGCCCACCAAGCCUGUAACCGGUGCGGGCUUUGAGAGAAGGAGCCCGGAGAUGGACACUGAGACAAGGGUCCAGGCCCUACGGGGCGCAGCAGGCGCGAAAACUUCGCAAUGUGCGAAAGCGCGACGAGGUUAAUCCGAGUGCCGCCCGCUGAGGGCGGCUUUUCUCAGGUGUAAAUGGUCUGAGGAAUAAGGGGAGGGAAAGCCUGGUGUCAGCCGCCGCGGUAAUACCAGCUCCCCGAGUGGUCGGGACGUUUAUUGGGCCUAAAGCAUCCGUAGCCCGCUCUGUUGGUCCCAGGUUAAAUCCAAUCGCUCAACGAUUGGGCCGCAUGGGAUACCGCAGGGCUAGGAGGCGGGAGAGGCGGACGGUACUCCGCGGGUAGGGGUAAAAUCCACUGAUCCGCGGAAGACCACCAGUGGCGAAGGCGGUCCGCCAGAACGCGCUCGACGGUGAGGGAUGAAAGCUGGGGGAGCGAACCGGAUUAGAUACCCGGGUAGUCCCAGCUGUAAACGAUGCGAGCUAGGUGAUGGAGU
Molecule: ribosomal RNA, 800 nt
Filed under: uncultured crenarchaeote
Lineage: Archaea; Thermoproteati; Thermoproteota
Description: bacterial SSU rRNA
Rfam family: Archaeal small subunit ribosomal RNA
Source: RNAcentral